UGGGGAAUCUUCCGCAAUGGGCGCAAGCCUGACGGAGCAACGCCGCGUGAGUGAAGAAGGUCUUCGGAUUGUAAAACUCUGUCUUCAGGGAAGAAAAAAAUGACGGUACCUGAGGAGGAAGCCCCGGCUAACUACGUGCCAGCAGCCGCGGUAAUACGUAGGGGGCAAGCGUUGUCCGGAAUUAUUGGGCGUAAAGAGCGUGUAGGCGGAUAUUUAAGUCAGAUGUGAAAACUGGCGGCUCAACCGUGAGACUGCAUCUGAUACUGGAUAUCUUGAGGGUAAGAGAGGGCAGUGGAAUUCCUAGUGUAGCGGUGAAAUGCGUAGAUAUUAGGAGGAACACCAGUGGCGAAGGCGACUGCCUGGCUUACAACUGACGCUGAGACGCGAAAGCGUGGGGAGCAAACAG
This 406-nucleotide ribosomal RNA is filed under the name uncultured bacterium. RNAcentral describes it as "bacterial SSU rRNA". It matches the Rfam family "Bacterial small subunit ribosomal RNA", at positions 355 to 775 of the family's 1533-position model. The record is from RNAcentral.